ACGAACGCUGGCGGCGUGCUUAACACAUGCAAGUCGAAUGGUGAAGCGCCUUCCUUUUUGGUGGGUGUGGAUGAGUGGCGAACGGGUGAGUAACACGUGAGUAACCUGCCCCCUUCUUCUGGAUAACCGCAUGAAAGUGUGGCUAAUACGGGAUAUUCUGGGUCUGUCGCAUGAUGGGUCUGGGAAAGAUAUUGUUUCGGUGGGGGAUGGGCUCGCGGCCUAUCAGCUUGUUGGUGGGGUGAUGGCCUACCAAGGCGGUGACGGGUAGCCGGCCUGAGAGGGUGGACGGUCACACUGGGACUGAGACACGGCCCAGACUCCUACGGGAGGCAGCAGUGGGGAAUAUUGCACAAUGGGCGCAAGCCUGAUGCAGCGACGCCGCGUGAGGGAUGGAGGCCUUCGGGUUGUGAACCUCUUUCGCCAGUGAAGCAGGCCUGCCUCGUUUGUGGGUGGGUUGACGGUAGCUGGAUAAGAAGCGCCGGCUAACUACGUG
This 493-nucleotide ribosomal RNA is filed under the name uncultured bacterium. Its description in RNAcentral is "partial 16S ribosomal RNA". It matches the Rfam family "Bacterial small subunit ribosomal RNA", at positions 29 to 507 of the family's 1533-position model. The record is from RNAcentral.